UAAUUCCUGGAAUGCUCGACACUCUUACCAUUUUUGAACCUACAUUUUGACUAACGGGAUUCCAAUAUUUUUAAGCGGAUGUCAGGCCUCCUUUGAGUGGAAGGCAGAAGUUUAAGUGAGGUCACCCACCUAGCACGGCUAGGCGUCAAUACGGUAAGAACCGGCAUUUUGGGGUUACA
RNAcentral lists this non-coding RNA (179 nucleotides) under Clostridium sp. RNAcentral describes it as "6S RNA". It matches the Rfam family "6S / SsrS RNA". Rfam says of the family: E. coli 6S RNA was the first non coding RNA to be sequenced, but its function was unknown until recently. It consists of 184 nucleotides that fold into an extended hairpin structure with a large single-stranded internal bulge. The 6S RNA specifically associates with RNA polymerase holoenzyme containing the sigma70 specificity factor. The record is from RNAcentral. Lineage: Bacteria; Bacillati; Bacillota; Clostridia; Eubacteriales; Clostridiaceae.